This 447-nucleotide ribosomal RNA is filed under the name uncultured bacterium. RNAcentral's name for it is "bacterial SSU rRNA". It matches the Rfam family "Bacterial small subunit ribosomal RNA", at positions 355 to 825 of the family's 1533-position model. The record is from RNAcentral.
UCGGGAAUUUUGGGCAAUGGGCGAAAGCCUGACCCAGCAACGCCGCGUGAAGGAUGAAGUAUUUCGGUAUGUAAACUUCGAAAGAAUAGGAAGAAUAAAUGACGGUACUAUUUAUAAGGUCCGGCUAACUACGUGCCAGCAGCCGCGGUAAUACGUAGGGACCAAGCGUUGUUCGGAUUUACUGGGCGUAAAGGGCGCGUAGGCGGCAAUUCAAGUCAUCUGUGAAAUCUCCGGGCUUAACUCGGAACGGUCAGAUGAUACUGCUUUGCUAGAGUGCAGAAGGGGCAAUCGGAAUUCUUGGUGUAGCGGUGAAAUGCGUAGAUAUCAAGAGGAACACCUGAGGUGAAGACGGGUUGCUGGGCUGACACUGACGCUGAGGCGCGAAAGCGUGGGGAUCAAACAGGAUUAGAUACCCACGUAGUCCCUGAGCGGGCUGGCAAGGCGCAU